CUCUUGAUUAGGGUGUUUUAUUUUUAUUAUUAUAGCAGUUAUUUUUAUUAUUAUAGCAGUCAUCAGUUCAUUAUGUGUGAAUGAUUGGUCCAAAAGAUCAGAUGCAUGGGAAGUUAGAUUCCCAAUAAUGCCAAGAAGUCUUGUGGGUAAAAAUAAUCUGGGGAUAGGUAUUAUAAUGUGACGUAGUACUGCUGGAAUACUUCCGCUAUCUUUUCUGUGUCAAGAACUGUGCUACCCUGGUUGUCUGUAUUUCUCAGUAAAUGCUUCCUGAUGUUCCUUCAGCACUUUUGCUAGCAGAACCCAACAUCUAUUGCCAUGCGAAUAAGAGGUAUGUUUGGUCAAUUUAUAUUUCAUAAAAUAUUUAUAGUGGUUUAAAGAAAGAGUAAAUCGUAUAACAGGAGGACCAAGAAACUUCACUAUUUGUUUAUUACCCGAUUUGUAAUCAAUGCUAUUGAGUGAGAUAUAGCUAUACUAUAUUGCGCUGAAAUUUGUUCCUACAGUGUCAUACCUGAACCACCAUCUGCACAGGCACUCCUUAUCUUUUUGGCUUGCUGUUGAGAAUUUCUUGUCAAUGAGAAGUCAGUUUACAAAGGGGCAUGUAAUUAUAUUUUGCACAUGUAGCUUAUUUGUAGUAUGG
Non-coding RNA from Pelobates cultripes (western spadefoot toad), 637 nucleotides. The record is from the annotation of a GenBank genome assembly. Lineage: Eukaryota; Metazoa; Chordata; Amphibia; Anura; Pelobatidae.